GAUGAGCGCUGACAGAAUGCUUAACACAUGCAAGUCAACUUGAACUUCGGUUUGGGUGGCGGACGGGUGAGUAACGCGUAAAGAACUUGCCUCACAGAUAGGGACAACAUUUGGAAACGAAUGCUAAUACCUGAUAUUAUGAUUAUAUGGCAUCGUAUAAUUAUGAAAGCUAUAUGCGCUGUGAGAGAGCUUUGCGUCCCAUUAGCUAGUUGGAGAGGUAACGGCUCACCAAGGCGAUGAUGGGUAGCCGGCCUGAGAGGGUGAUCGGCCACAAGGGGACUGAGACACGGCCCUUACUCCUACGGGAGGCAGCAGUGGGGAAUAUUGGACAAUGGACCAAGAGUCUGAUCCAGCAAUUCUGUGUGCACGAUGAAGUUUUUCGGAAUGUAAAGUGCUUUCAGUUGGGAAGAAAAAAAUGACGGUACCAACAGAAGAAGUGACGGCUAAAUACGUG
This 454-nucleotide ribosomal RNA is filed under the name uncultured bacterium. Its description in RNAcentral is "partial 16S ribosomal RNA". It matches the Rfam family "Bacterial small subunit ribosomal RNA", at positions 28 to 507 of the family's 1533-position model. The record is from RNAcentral.